GAUGAACGCUGGCGGCGUGCCUAAUACAUGCAAGUCGAGCGAACAGAUGAGGAGCUUGCUCCUCUGACGUUAGCGGCGGACGGGUGAGUAACACGUGGAUAACCUACCUAUAAGACUGGGAUAACUUCGGGAAACCGGAGCUAAUACCGGAGAAUAUAUUGAACCGCAUGGUUCAAUAGUGAAAGACGGUUUUGCUGUCACUUAUAGAUGGAUCCGCGCCGCAUUAGCUAGUUGGUAAGGUAACGGCUUACCAAGGCAACGAGGCGUAGCCGACCUGAGAGGGUGGUCGGCCACACUGGAACUGAGACACGGUCCAGACUCCUACGGGAGGCAGCAGUAGGGAAUCUUCCGCAAUGGGCGAAAGCCUGACGGAGCAACGCCGCGUGAGUGAUGAAGGUCUUCGGAUCGUAAAACUCUGUUAUUAGGGAAGAACAAAUGUGUAAGUAACUAUGCACGUCUUGACGGUACCUAAUCAGAAAGCCACGGCUAACUACGUG
RNAcentral lists this ribosomal RNA (497 nucleotides) under uncultured bacterium. RNAcentral's name for it is "partial 16S ribosomal RNA". It matches the Rfam family "Bacterial small subunit ribosomal RNA", at positions 28 to 507 of the family's 1533-position model. The record is from RNAcentral.